This 404-nucleotide ribosomal RNA is filed under the name uncultured bacterium. Its description in RNAcentral is "bacterial SSU rRNA". It matches the Rfam family "Bacterial small subunit ribosomal RNA", at positions 354 to 776 of the family's 1533-position model. The record is from RNAcentral.
GUGAGGAAUAUUGGGCAAUGGAGGCAACUCUGACCCAGCCAUGCCGCGUGAGUGAGAAGGUUUUCGAAUUGUAAAGCUCUUUCAGGUGUGAAGAUGAUGACGGUAACACCAGAAGAAGCCCCGGCAAACUUCGUGCCAGCAGCCGCGGUAAUACGAAGGGGGCGAGCGUUGUUCGGAAUUACUGGGCGUAAAGGGUGUGUAGGCGGUUUAGUAAGAUAGUGGUGAAAUGCCGGAGCUCAACUUCGGAAUUGCCAUUAUGACUAUUAAGCUAGAAUGAUGUAGAGGAUAGCGGAAUACCCAGUGUAGAGGUGAAAUUCGUAGAUAUUGGGUAGAACACCAGAGGCGAAGGCGGCUAUCUGGGCAUUUAUUGACGCUGAGGCACGAAAGCAUGGGGAUCAAACAGG